RNAcentral lists this ribosomal RNA (528 nucleotides) under uncultured bacterium. RNAcentral's name for it is "bacterial SSU rRNA". It matches the Rfam family "Bacterial small subunit ribosomal RNA", at positions 774 to 1298 of the family's 1533-position model. The record is from RNAcentral.
AGGCAAUAGAUACCCGGGUAGUCCAUGCCGUAAACGUUGGGAACUAGGUGUGGGUCUCAUUCCACGAGAUCCGUGCCGCAGCUAACGCAUUAAGUUCCCCGCCUGGGGAGUACGGCCGCAAGGCUAAAACUCAAAGGAAUUGACGGGGGCCCGCACAAGCGGCGGAGCAUGCGGAUUAAUUCGAUGCAACGCGAAGAACCUUACCAAGGCUUGACAUAUGCGAGAACGCGGCAGAGAUGUCGUUCUCUUUGGACACUCGCAUACAGGUGGUGCAUGGUUGUCGUCAGCUCGUGUCGUGAGAUGUUGGGUUAAGUCCCGCAACGAGCGCAACCCUCGUUCUAUGUUGCCAGCACGUGAUGGUGGGGACUCAUAGGAGACUGCCGGGGUCAACUCGGAGGAAGGUGGGGAUGACGUCAAAUCAUCAUGCCCCUUAUGUCUUGGGCUUCACGCAUGCUACAAUGGCCGGUACAAAGGGCUGCGAUACCGCGAGGUGGAGCGAAUCCCAAAAACCGGUACGUCAGUUCGGUA